Molecule: long non-coding RNA, 2219 nt
Organism: Maniola jurtina (meadow brown)
Lineage: Eukaryota; Metazoa; Arthropoda; Insecta; Lepidoptera; Nymphalidae
Exons: 2
Source: RefSeq, a predicted model, not a curated record
GUCUAUGGGUUCACGCGCGUCACUACGCACAUGUCACGUGUACGUGUUGCAUACGCAAUUGGUGUGAAUCGGCCAUAACUCCGAAAGUAAGACGUGCAUCUCCCGAAUAGGGGGCGGACGUCUUAACCACUAUGGUCGUCACGGCUAAUAUUAUUUUAUGGUAAAAAGUAUGUAUAGUAUAGAUAGGUUUUAAGUAUAGAUAGAUUAAAAUUCAAUCCGAAGCUCGUCCCUGCGGCGUAGGUACGUGCCUGUGAUGUGACACAUCCCUUGCCCUAACGACAACAUCCAUUUCCGCACGCGUCAAACAAGCGUCAAGAUCAAAUUAAACAGAAAGAUUUAUUUCCACCCACGCUCCUAUCUCGUGAAUAUUUGUCAAGGGAAUAAUAGACUAAGAGCCCGCGAGGGACAGACCUUCGUUAUUUUAUAAAAGUUGAAAGUUUCCCUGCGUAUCGUCUCCAACACAGAGAAGAACGAUCCGUGACAAAGUUUGGAUCAUUGUGGCUUUUUCAGAUAGCAGGUAACAAAUAGGCUACAAUCGUUCCUGCCUGUGUUGGGGGCAAUACGCAGAGAAACUUUCAGCUUUUUUAAUAUAAUGAAUGUAUGACCCUCGCGGGCUCUCUCUCUAUAGGACUGAUACAAUUUUGCUGUGCUCAAAAUGGAUUUUGUCUGUCCCCGAAGAUUAUUCUUAGCCCAAUACAAAAUCUAAUUGGAAUACACGCUAUUUUGCAUUUUGCUAAUAUUUUUUUUGGUUCUGCUAUAAAUUCAUGUUAUUUUAAAUGCGAAAGUGUUUGUUGGGUUAUCGGUUUGCCCUUCAAUCACGCCGCAACGGAGUUACGGAUCAGCAUGAUUUUUGUAUGGUUAUAGUUACCUGGAGAGUGACACUUUAUAUCCCGGAAAAUCAAAGAGUUCCCACGGGAUUUUAAAACGUAAACCCACGAGGACAAAGUUACGGGCAUUAGCUAAUAACUACAUUAUAUAAAUACCUAUACACUCAAAGCUACCUAAGCACCUACCUAUAUAUUAACUUUUUAAAUUUAAAAUUUUACAGUUUUUACUACAUAAUGACCAUCGAACGAUGGAACUUUCAGAUGCUAAUCUCACUUUUGAGAAUUUUUGUUUCCAUAAGAUAGUUUUAAAGAUGUUUUGUCAGAUUAAGAAAAACCAUUGAGUACAAGAAAUCAAUUAUUUAUUUAUAUAAUAACAAAUAUAUCAUUUGUUAUAAAUUAUUUACCUAUUAUUAUUCAGCUGCCAAUUACUAUGAAUAUACAUUGCGGCUAAUUGUAUUUUACACAACAUCUUAAGUAAACUGAGAGGUCAAAUCUUUUAUCCUAUCCACGGAAUGAAGUUAAUACAGUGCUCUAGAGCAUUUGUAUUGGAUUACGUUAUAGCUAUAACGUAAUCCCAUACAAAUGAUAGAACCAGAAAUCUCAGCCGGCGCUAACUAUUUGAGUCACCAACCAAUCACAAACUAAACUAUGUUUUCUAAUUAACCGACUUCAUUGAAUUUCGAAUGUUUUUAAAAACAUUUUCGAUUUGGAAUUCGAAUGUUUUUUGAAAACACGUUUGCGAUUUGUUGGUAACUCAAAUUGGUUAACGCCCACUGAGAUUAUUGGCUCUAUCAUUUGUAUGGGAUUACGUAACAGAGAGAGCGCUAUACAACUUCACUCCGUGGAUAUAUUAUAUCUGUCAUUUAAAUUUAUUAUAGAGAUUGUAUAGAACAGAAUUAGCCACAAUUAUUUAAUUAAUUAAGAAGUAGAGUCAAUAUUACUCCUGUAAUCUUAUAAAUAAUGACGCUAUUCUAAGCCUUUAUAAUUUUAUUAUUAUAUAACUAUUAAAUAAUUAUAUUUAUACACUAGGUAAAUAUUAUUUUUAUAAGCACUUACAGAAUUUCGCCGGGUUUUUAUCUUUUGUUUUGAACCCGGCGAGGCCACAUGAUCAAAUGGUCAAAAUUGUCAUAAAGAAUAAGAGCGGUAACGCACUCAUCCGAUCUGAGUGCGUAAAAAUACUGAGAUUUGAAUCCGAGGCACAUCCGAGAUAUUCUCACGGAUGAUGGACAGAACUCGGAAGUCGGAGCUACUACGUAAGCUACCAUACAAAUAGUUCUAUGACUACUUCGGAACGUAUUUUCACGGAUUCGGCUCGGAUGCAGUGCGCAAUAGCCCUAAAGAGCAAGAUCCCGGAGCCGCCAGACGUUACUUAUUUUCUGAGAAACAAAAUAU